Long non-coding RNA from Drosophila obscura, 1247 nucleotides. RefSeq lists it as uncharacterized. The record is from RefSeq and is a predicted model, not a curated record. NCBI's taxonomy places the organism in Eukaryota, Metazoa, Arthropoda, Insecta, Diptera, Drosophilidae. The transcript is spliced from 3 exons.
UGAAACUCCACGAAAGGAAACUUGAUAGAUUUAAGUAUAGCCAUUUGUACAUUCCUUUUCACAUUGGUCCACAAACGAGAUUGUCAAAGCUCCAGUUGCAACCCCCAACCCUAUGAUAAUAUCGAUGCUGUUCGGGCAAAUCGAUGCGAUGCCUUCUGAGAAGCGAAAACAAUAAACGAAAUACCGACAAAAAAUAAGCACCAGCCACAAAAUGUGCCGAAUUCCAAUGAAAAUACUAAGUAAACAAAAAAUAGUUGACAAAAGAUUAUACGGUAUAGAAAUGGUAUACGGGUAUUUAAUCGUAAUUUACGGCCAGUAUCGGCGGAGGAGACGGAGACCCCUGUCAAAAGCUUAAAGACUGCAAUUGAUUGUCGUCGAAGCUGAACAACUACCACUAUGUGUACUCGAUAGAUAUGUAUGUAUGUAUAUCCAUGACAUCUACAGUCAUUGAAAGGGUAUUUAUUAUUCUGUGCCUACAUACCUUGGGAGCUAUGGCCAUCUAUUUUAUCAACGUAUUUCCGGUUUACCCAGCGUAUGAGUGGGCAUAUAAUAUCGGAUUAAUAGCCUGCUGUGUACAGUUAUCUUCUUGAUCUCACUUUCGGAUCGUUUUUGGUAUAAUUCAAUCGAUCAAUUAUAAUUGAUAAUUAUCUGGAAGUAUCCACAAUCAAGAUGCACAGAUAACAGGACUGGAAAACUGUGACGAGCAAUCUUUGAUUUUAAUGUUUAAAUUAGUUAAAUAUAUUCAAUCGUCUGUUGAUUUCGAUUAUACAAAUCUUUCGGCCUCGACAUAUAGUAGAUAUCUGUGAUCUUAAUGAAGAUUUAAAUGAAUGCAUCCACACGAAACAUUUUUGGCAUUUUUGAGCUCAAGGGAAAGAUCAAGUUGAAAAUUCUUCUCUGAUGAGCACCGCAUGCUUUUAGUAGUAGCACUUCCCGGAAAUUUGUGCUAUUUUUUCGUAACAUGACGAACAAAAUAAAUAGGUCAGAAGAGUCGGUGGCGGCGGGGGAAAAUAGAACCGGAAAUGACAUAAAAAUUGCUCAUGUUGUAGCAGUACAACGACAAUAUGUGUCAUAGUCACUUGUAACGCGGAGCCAAAACCACCUGCCAUCAAAAUCUACAAGGAAUCGUGAUUGAGUGGAGAUUAUUUUUUCGGAGUAAUAUCUACGAUAUGGCCGGGGAUUUACUAACAGUCACUAAUCCCUUAAGAGUUCUAGGAAAUUUUUUAACUAAUAAAUUGAAACGAACUUUG